UUGUUGGUAAGGUAAAAGCUUACCAAGGCUUCGAUCAGUAGCUGGUCUGAGAGGACGACCAGCCACACUGGGACUGAGACACGGCCCAGACUCCUACGGGAGGCAGCAGUGGGGAAUUUUGGACAAUGGGGGCAACCCUGAUCCAGCCAUGCCGCGUGAGUGAAGAAGGCCUUCGGGUUGUAAAGCUCUUUCAGCCGGAACGAAACGGUUACGGUUAACACCCGUGACUACUGACGGUACCGGAAGAAGAAGCACCGGCUAACUACGUGCCAGCAGCCGCGGUAAUACGUAGGGUGCGAGCGUUAAUCGGAAUUACUGGGCGUAAAGCGUGCGCAGGUGGUUUUGUAAGUCAGAUGUGAAAGCCCCGGGCUCAACCUGGGAACUGCGUUUGAAACUACAAGACUAGAGUGUGGCAGAGGGGGGUGGAAUUCCGCGUGUAGCAGUGAAAUGCGUAGAGAUGUGGAGGAACACCGAUGGCGAAGGCAGCCCCCUGGGUCAACACUGACGCUCAGGCACGAAAGCAUGGGGAGCAAACAGGAUUAGAUACCCUGGUAGUCCAUGCCCUAAGCGAUGUCAACUAGUUGUCGGGCCUUUACGGGCUUGGUAACGUAGCUAACGCGUGAAGUUGACCGCCUGGGGAGUACGAUCGCAAGAUUAAAACUCAAAUGAAUUGACGGGGACCCGCACAAGCGGUGGAUUAUGUGGAUUAAUUCGAUGCGACGCGAAAAACCUUACCUACCCUUGACAUGUAUCGAAGCCCGCAGAAAAGCGGGGGUGCCCGAAAGGGAACGAUAACACAGGUGCUGCAUGGCUGUCGUCAGCUCGUGUCGUGAGAUGUUGGGUUAAGUCCCGCAACGAGCGCAACCCUUGUCAUUAAUUGCCAUCAUUUAGUUGGGCACUUUAAUGAGACUGCCGG
This 916-nucleotide ribosomal RNA is filed under the name uncultured bacterium. RNAcentral's name for it is "bacterial SSU rRNA". It matches the Rfam family "Bacterial small subunit ribosomal RNA", at positions 246 to 1155 of the family's 1533-position model. The record is from RNAcentral.